UACGGAGGGGGCUAGCGUUGUUCGGAAUUACUGGGCGUAAAGCGUGCGCAGGCGGUCUUCCAAGUCAGUGGUGAAAGCCCGGAGCUCAACUCCGGAACUGCCAUUGAAACUGUGAGACUCGAGUACGAGAGAGGUGAGUGGAAUUCCCAGUGUAGAGGUGAAAUUCGUAGAUAUUGGGAAGAACACCGGUGGCGAAGGCGGCUCACUGGCUCGUAACUGACGCUCAGGCACGACAGCGUGGGGAUCAAACAGG
This 253-nucleotide ribosomal RNA is filed under the name uncultured bacterium. Its description in RNAcentral is "partial 16S ribosomal RNA". It matches the Rfam family "Bacterial small subunit ribosomal RNA", at positions 524 to 776 of the family's 1533-position model. The record is from RNAcentral.